UGAAAAGAACAAAGUUUUGUCCAUCUUUGUUCAUCAUAGCCUAAAGUUAGAGAAGAGAAAGGAGAGGAGAAAGCUCUUGAAUGUUCGGUCACUUGGGGAAGAAAAUUGAAGGUAAGUUCAUGGUAGUUUGCUUCUAUCUUGAUGUUCAUGAGUUCUUCUUGAUUCUACCUUAACUCUUGAAGCAUAUUUUGGUUUUUAGUUGUGUUGUGAGCAUUUAGUCAUGAAUUAAAAUGAAGGAAAUGGUUGUUGUUUCAUGUUCUUUUGAUGAAAAAUGGAAGAUAGGUGAAGUUAAGCCAAACAAAUGAGCAUGCAUGUGCCUUAGAUGCUAAGGGGAAAACUCUGCUAACAUGUUGUGAUUUAAAAUGAUGAAAUGGAGAUUAUACUUAAGUAAAAUCAUAGAUAUGUGAUGAUUGAUUGGUGAUAUACAUGUUUAAAUAACAAGCAUGCAAGUUAGGUGUGAAAGAGUGAUUUGGUAAUAAAUCUGCUUGGGACAGCAGCAGUAACGUGACUUUGGAAAAUCACCAUAAAUUGUGGGAGAUGAGUUAGAAGCUGCAUAAAUUAUGUAAUUAAAGAUUAAUGAGUCUAGUUUCAAAUGGAAUAAACAAGAACAUAUUUUUAAUUCUAUACAAUGAUAAAUUUGAUUCGUAAUGAAGAGUGGUCAGAUUAGUCAAACAGUGAAACAUGUGAAACUUUAAGAAAAAUCUGGUAUUGAUUGGCUAAACCAAAAAUUCUGAAAAUUUUAUGGAUAAAAGAUAUAUGAGUCUAUUUUCAGGUAAAAUUAACGGCACUUGAUUUGGAGUUUCGUAGCUCCAGUUAUAAAUGAUUUAGUGACUGUUGUUCAGGAAGACAGCUUGCAGUGAGAUUAUGAUUAUGUGGUAAACAUUGACAAAAAUUUGUUAAUGAGUUGCUUAUUGAUUUCUUAUAAACUUACUAUGAUCUGUAGGUGUGGUUGGCCGAAUAUUUUAAGGGGUUAAUACGUAGUUCGUAUUUGAAUAGUUAGAUUAAUGUGUUAGUAAUCCAAUUGUAGGCAGUUCGUGUGUGGAUCUCGUCAGCAUAUCGUCGCAAACAGGUGUGUAACUAACACCCUCUUUCUUAGUCUGGAUCGGCAAAAGUCGAAAAGCCGAAAUGCUAAAAACUGGUAUUUUGUAGAUUUGCGAGUGUGCGAAUGCUCGUGAGGUAAAUUGAUUAAUGUUUUUGGUAAGCUGCAAAAUUUGGACUGCAAAGUGCAUGAUUUCUAUGCCCUCGAUAUUUUUGGGCUUAAUGGGCCAAAAUGAGAAUGAUGGGCCAACGGACCUAAUUCGGUAAGAACCCUCGGUACGUGAUUCUGUUAGUACGUGAAAAGUAGGAAUAUGCAUGAAAAACCCUAAAAUAGAUAAAUUACUGAAAUACCUUUAAAAGUGGAAAAUUUACAGUUUUACCCAUAGUAGAUAAAUUACCGAAAUACCCCUAGUGUUAAAUUGACCUAAAUGCAUGUUUGACUGUUGUUAUUUACUGCAUGCCAUGUUGUUAUUAUCUGAUGCAUGGGAUUGGGAUAUUGACGGAGGAAGUACUGAAAGUGGCUUGUCCACGUACUGGAGGCUUUGCCUCAAUUUACUAUUAACUGAGCAGCAAGGAUGCAACUGUGGAGUGUUGGGUUGGGUGGGUUGAGCUAUUCCCCAUAUGGAGUGCAAGGCUGGUACGGGUGGAGUGUAGUGGUUGGUGGGUUGAGUAGUCUCCCAAAAUGGGCUUGCAUAUGUUAUUGAUGUUGCAUGUAUUUUGAAAUGGGCCUAUGGGCCAUACUGUUAUCUGAAUAAGGGGCUAAGGCCCAGUUUAUUGUAAUCUGAAAAGGGCUUUGGUCAAGUACCACUGUUACCUGAAUGGGUUUAGGCCCAAUAGGCUUGAGCUGACUUGGGCUUUGAAUGGGUUUUCCUUACACACUGAGUUUCCCGAAAUUCACCCAUUUUAUUUUCAUCCACGCAGGAAAUCCCCAACCAUAGUAGGCUUGGAGCUGUGAGGAAAUUCGGAGUGGCCACCCGUUCUGAAAGUUUGAUUUUCUUCUGGUGAACUGGACAUCCUUUUAUUUACGUUUGAAGUUUUGGGUUUUUAAAUGUAAUAAGGCCGCUUAAUUAUUUUUGAUGGUUUUAAUAUGUAUUACUAAGAUAGGUAUUACUUAUUUUAACUGUUGAAAUUGGAUAGCUUUAGGGCGCGUUUUCAAAAACAACAAUUGAUUUCAAAAUAACAUGACAACAAGCAAAGCUUC
This 2239-nucleotide long non-coding RNA is filed under the name Gossypium barbadense (sea-island cotton). Its description in RNAcentral is "long non-coding RNA (GBAR_LNC002030)". Lineage: Eukaryota; Viridiplantae; Streptophyta; Magnoliopsida; Malvales; Malvaceae. The record is from RNAcentral.